CGCAACCCUUGUCCUUAGUUACCAGCACGUUAUGGUGGGCACUCUAAGGAGACUGCCGGUGACAAACCGGAGGAAGGUGGGGAUGACGUCAAGUCAUCAUGGCCCUUACGGCCUGGGCUACACACGUGCUACAAUGGUCGGUACAAAGGGUUGCCAAGCCGCGAGGUGGAGCUAAUCCCAUAAAACCGAUCGUAGUCCGGAUCGCAGUCUGCAACUCGACUGCGUGAAGUCGGAAUCGCUAGUAAUCGUGAAUCAGAAUGUCACGGUGAAUACGUUCCCGGGCCUU
This 286-nucleotide ribosomal RNA is filed under the name uncultured Pseudomonas sp. RNAcentral describes it as "partial 16S ribosomal RNA". It matches the Rfam family "Bacterial small subunit ribosomal RNA", at positions 1097 to 1382 of the family's 1533-position model. The record is from RNAcentral. Lineage: Bacteria; Pseudomonadati; Pseudomonadota; Gammaproteobacteria; Pseudomonadales; Pseudomonadaceae.